This 376-nucleotide ribosomal RNA is filed under the name uncultured bacterium. RNAcentral's name for it is "bacterial SSU rRNA". It matches the Rfam family "Bacterial small subunit ribosomal RNA", at positions 524 to 898 of the family's 1533-position model. The record is from RNAcentral.
UACAGAGGGUGCGAACGUUGCUCGGAAUUACUGGGCGUAAAGCGCGUGUAGGCGGGACCGUAAGUCAGAUGUGAAAUCCCCGAGCUCAACUCGGGAACUGCAUCUGAAACUGCGGACCUUGAGUACUGGAGAGGGCGGCGGAAUUCCUGGUGUAGAGGUGAAAUUCGUAGAUAUCAGGAGGAACACCGGUGGCGAAGGCGGCCGCCUGGACAGUCACUGACGCUGAGACGCGAAAGCGUGGGGAGCAAACAGGAUUAGAUACCCUGGUAGUCCACGCCGUAAACGAUGGGUGCUAGGUGUCUCGGGUAUUGACCCCUGAGGUGCCGUAGCUAACGCGUUAAGCACCCCGCCUGGGAAGUACGGUCGCAAGACUAAA